This is a long non-coding RNA of Eriocheir sinensis (Chinese mitten crab), 1078 nucleotides long. RefSeq lists it as uncharacterized. NCBI's taxonomy places the organism in Eukaryota, Metazoa, Arthropoda, Malacostraca, Decapoda, Varunidae. The transcript has 2 exons. The record is from RefSeq and is a predicted model, not a curated record.
CGAACCAUUUGAGUAUUUGCUGUAUGUAUAAAUUUUCGUAAUGCCCCAAUUAAGAAAUAUUUUCUGUGAAGUUAGAUAACUUGGGAGCAAGGCCGAACGCUACUGGGUCAGGGGAAAGGCUGUGGAUGCGCCAGGUGCAGGUCGACUAUCGGCGGUGGUAGUAUAUAAAUACGGACGCAGCAAAAGUUUCGACAGAGCACUACUGGCCCGGUAGAUCUUAUCCUUACUAGCUGUUGGUCUAGCCUCAAACGAUGAGUCCGUGCAUCAUCUUGGCCCUGCUGGUGGCGGGAAUCGGCAGCGUCGCGGGAUUGGAAAUAUGUGCCGUAGACUGCUCACAUGGAAACGAGCUCACAGCUAAUCCCGUCGACUGUAAAGGCUACUAUAUAUGCUUUGAUUUAAUGAACCAUAGUGAGUAUCCGUUUACAUGCGAAGGCAACAUGUUUUUCGACAUUAUAUCCCACUCCUGUAAAGAUUCUGGUUACACUUGCACUCCUGAAUGUGAAAAAUGCUCCUUCGAUUGUGAAACACCUGUCCUGGAUAAAAGAGCGAGCUCAGUCGACUGUGGUGUUUACUUUACGUGCAGCACAGGUGAGUGGACCACGUGUCCCUCUGAUGCGCCAUAUUUCAAUGGUGACGUUUGUCAGACAGACCAAAACAACUGCUGCACUUGCAAGUCAUACUGCACUCAGGUUUAUGCGGACAAUCACGUCCUUGUCGCAGACUUACGCAACUGUACCAACUAUUACCUUUGUCUGAAGGAGGGGAUCCCAGACGAAACUUCUCACGGCCAUUGCCCAAGCGGUAAUUACGAUCCUGAAGCGCGUAAUUGCGUCGAAAAUGGUCCCUGCAUACAGCCUUGCGCCUGAACACAGAAGCGCCUCUGCGUGGUGAGUGAACGACAGGCCUCAACAUGACCAUGCUGCGGAUCCUCCUCACGACUAACUCUCUCCAGUGGGCCUUGUUCAACAGAUAUGUUCUUCGUGAAGUUGCUGUAAACUGUCCUUAUGAAUAACUGAAUGUACAGAAAUGAGGGAGGCUUAAACUUUAUGAAAAUGAAUAAAUAUAUUUAACAAGAAUA